UCUCCGUAGGUGAACCUGCGGAGGGAUCAUUACUGAGUGAGGGUUUAACCGCCCGACCUCCAACCCUUUGUGAAUCGUACUCGUUGCUUCGGGGGCGACCCUGCCGUUUCGACGGCGAGCGCCCCCGGAGGCCUUCAAACCCUGCGUAACUAAGUCGUCGGAGUUUAAACAAAUUAAACAAAACUUUCAACAACGGAUCUCUUGGUUCGGGCAUCGAUGAAGAACGCAGC
RNAcentral lists this unclassified non-coding RNA (230 nucleotides) under uncultured fungus. Its description in RNAcentral is "sequence contains ITS1, 5.8S rRNA gene". The stretch from base 182 to 230 matches the Rfam family "5.8S ribosomal RNA", at positions 1 to 49 of the family's 154-position model. Lineage: Eukaryota; Fungi. The record is from RNAcentral.